RNAcentral lists this ribosomal RNA (954 nucleotides) under Triticum aestivum (bread wheat). Its description in RNAcentral is "partial small subunit ribosomal RNA". The record is from RNAcentral. Lineage: Eukaryota; Viridiplantae; Streptophyta; Magnoliopsida; Poales; Poaceae.
AUGGUGCCAGGAAUGGCGCCCAAGCCGGCGGCGCCGAUGCCCGCGCAGCCGAAGAAGCCUCAGCACAUGCUCGUGCUCGGCACCGGCUUCGUCGGCCGCUACGUCUCGGAGCGCCUCCUGUCACAGGGAUGGCGGGUGUCCGGGACGUGCACCAGUGCCGCCAAGAAGACGGAGCUCGAGUUGCUGGGCAUGACUGCUUCCGUCUUCGAUGCCACAACAAGCAACCUCACAGAUCUUCAUGCUUUGCAAGAUGCAACCCAUUUGCUCAUCUCCAUUCCUCCCAUCCCUGGGGUGGGUGAUCCUUUGCUUUCCUCACAUGCUGACCUGCAAACAACACUGACUAGUGGUAAUCUUCAAUGGUUAUGCUACCUAUCUUCAACAAGUGUGUAUGGUGAUUGUGGUGGUGCAUGGGUUGAUGAGGAUCAUGUAGUGAAUCCAAAGAGCGAGUCUUCCAAGUUAAGAUAUACCGCUGAACAAGGAUGGUUGGAUCUUGUCGACGAGCUGGAUCUAUCGGCUUAUAUACUUCGUUUGGGUGGGAUAUAUGGGCCUGGAAGAAGUGCUUUGGACACCAUAGCUAAGAGAAAAUCUUCUUCCCGAAGACAGAAGUUGAGGGAGUCCAAACAGUACACGGCACGUAUCCAUGUGGCCGACAUCUAUCAGGCUAUCCUGGCUAGCAUGAGCAUCAAAUCUACAAGGAAGAUAUACAAUGUGGUGGAUGAUGACCCUGCCCCGAGAUCCGAGGUCUUUGCAUUUGCUCAGAGCUUGAUAGAGAAAAGAUACCCUGAUCUUGCAGCGGAUUCUGCAGGAUCAAACAGCCAGAACAGAAUUAUAGCUGCUGAAAAACGGGUAUCUAAUGGUCGGUUGAAACUGGAGCUUGGCGUUAGGCUUGCCCACCCAUCUUAUAGGUCAGGGCUGCAGAGUAUUCUUGAUUCCUGGCUCGAGGGAAAUCAGUGA